This is a long non-coding RNA of Acyrthosiphon pisum (pea aphid), 733 nucleotides long. RefSeq lists it as uncharacterized. The transcript is spliced from 3 exons. The record is from RefSeq and is a predicted model, not a curated record. NCBI's taxonomy places the organism in Eukaryota, Metazoa, Arthropoda, Insecta, Hemiptera, Aphididae.
UGUCUGUACGCUAUACGCCUUUGUUGUCGUUGCUUUAUUGAUAAUUAUUACGCAUGAGAUUCCUACGCAAUUUCGUAAGCCAACCACAUUACGUUUUUACAAAAACAAAAAUCAUUUCGUCCCUUAGUUUGGUGGCGAUAGAUUAGUCAAAUAUUAUUGUUAGUUAUUUAUUAACGGACAAUUCAUGAGAACCUAAUUCCCAAAGGCUCGGUUGGAAAAUAAUACCAAAUGAAAAUGCAUACUAAAUUUGAGAUGACAAACUACAAAAAGUUUAAACUGAACUAUUGUUAUGGUAAGUAUAAUAUUUUUUUGUAUUUUUCGUUAUCAUUUUAUCGCCAUAAUAAUUUUUACAAGUUUUCAGAAUUUUUAAAAAUUCUGUUUGGACUUGAAAUAAAAAGUUGCAAGUUUGGUUCAAUUUUAUUUGAUUAAAAUUAGAUCAGUUUUCCAAAUCAGGUGCAAUGGAGGUGGUUGUAAAUAUAUCGACGGUGGUGUAGGUGGGAGCUGAAAUUUGAGCUGCCGCUUGACAAAGAGUUUUUACUGUCUACAAUGGAGUCGGUAUUCAUGUGGUGUGCUUAUCUGCCGCCUACCUACCGUAAAAUGCCACCUACCUACCUAAUACUGUGCGAAUGUAUUUAUAUACCCAACAAAGAAUACUCCUACCUAUCGACUGUAUAUUAGUUAUAACUUAUUAAACUAAAACUUACUUAAUGUAUUGCUGAUUAUCAUAAUUUAU